This 784-nucleotide ribosomal RNA is filed under the name uncultured Acidobacteriota bacterium. RNAcentral's name for it is "bacterial SSU rRNA". It matches the Rfam family "Bacterial small subunit ribosomal RNA", at positions 12 to 826 of the family's 1533-position model. Lineage: Bacteria; Pseudomonadati; Acidobacteriota. The record is from RNAcentral.
UUUGAUCCUGGCUCAGAAUCAACGCUGGCGGCGCGCCUAACACAUGCAAGUCGAACGAGAAAGCAGGAGCAAUCUUGUGAGUAAAGUGGCGUACGGGUGAGUAACACGUGGAUCAUCUACCUUCUAGUGGGGGAUAACCCUGGGAAACCGGGGCUAAUACCGCAUAAGUCCGAGAGGAGAAAGCAGCAAUGCGCUGGAAGAGGAGUCCGCGGCCGAUUAGUUAGUUGGCAGGGUAAAAGCCUACCAAGACAAAGAUCGGUAGCCGGCCUGAGAGGGCACACGGCCACACUGGCACUGAAACACGGGCCAGACUCCUACGGGAGGCAGCAGUGGGGAAUCUUGCACAAUGGGGGCAACCCUGAUGCAGCGACGCCGCGUGAGCGAUGAAGCCCUUCGGGGUGUAAAGCUCUUUCGGCAGGGAAGAUUAUGACGGUACCUGCAGAAGCAGCUGCGGCUAACUACGUGCCAGCAGCCGCGGUAAUACGUAGGCAGCAAGCGUUGUUCGGAGUUACUGGGCGUAAAGGGUGUGUAGGCGGUCUUCUAAGUUUGGUGUGAAAUCUCCCGGCUCAACUGGGAGGGUGCGCCGAAAACUGGGAGGCUAGAGUACUGGAUGGGAGAGUGGAAUUCCUGGUGUAGCGGUGAAAUGCGUAGAUAUCAGGAGGAACACCGGUGGUGUAGACGGCUCUCUGGACAGUAACUGACGCUGAGACACGAAAGCGUGGGUAGCAAACAGGAUUAGAUACCCUGGUAGUCCACGCCCUAAACGAUGUAUAUUUGGUGUGGG